This 78-nucleotide transfer RNA is filed under the name Verrucomicrobiia bacterium. RNAcentral describes it as "tRNA-Pro". It matches the Rfam family "tRNA". From Rfam's summary of the family: Transfer RNA (tRNA) molecules are approximately 80 nucleotides in length. Lineage: Bacteria; Pseudomonadati; Verrucomicrobiota; Verrucomicrobiia. The record is from RNAcentral.
CGGGGUGUGGCUCAGUUUGGCUAGAGCGCCUGGUUUGGGACCAGGAGGUCGCAGGUUCGAAUCCUGUCACCCCGACCA